This 255-nucleotide ribosomal RNA is filed under the name uncultured bacterium. RNAcentral describes it as "partial 16S ribosomal RNA". It matches the Rfam family "Bacterial small subunit ribosomal RNA", at positions 524 to 776 of the family's 1533-position model. The record is from RNAcentral.
UACGAAGGGGGCUAGCGUUGCUCGGAAUCACUGGGCGUAAAGGGCGCGUAGGCGGACUCUUAAGUCGGGGGUGAAAGCCCAGGGCUCAACCCUGGAAUUGCCUUCGAUACUGAGAGUCUUGAGUUCGGAAGAGGUUGGUGGAACUGCGAGUGUAGAGGUGAAAAUUCGUAGAUAUUCGCAAGAACACCAGUGGCGAAGGCGGCCCAACUGGUCCGAUACUGACGCUGAGGCGCGAAAGCGUGGGUAGCAAACAGG